UAGGGAAUCUUCCGCAAUGGACGCAAGUCUGACGGAGCAACGCCGCGUGAGUGAAGAAGGAUUUCGGUUCGUAAAACUCUGUUGUUAGAGAAGAACAGCGCAUAGAGUAACUGUUAUGCGUGUGACGGUAUCUAACCAGAAAGCCACGGCUAACUACGUGCCAGCAGCCGCGGUAAUACGUAGGUGGCAAGCGUUGUCCGGAUUUAUUGGGCGUAAAGCGAGCGCAGGCGGUCAAUUAAGUCUGAUGUGAAAGCCCCCGGCUCAACCGGGGAGGGUCAUUGGAAACUGGUUGACUUAAGUGCAGGAGAGGAGAGUGGAAUUCCAUGUGUAGCGGUGAAAUGCGUAGAUAUAUGGAGGAACACCAGUGGCGAAGGCGACUCUCUGGUCUGUAACUGACGCUGAGGCUCGAAAGCGUGGGUAGCAAACAGG
This 429-nucleotide ribosomal RNA is filed under the name Bacteroidota bacterium. Its description in RNAcentral is "Bacteroidetes bacterium partial 16S ribosomal RNA". It matches the Rfam family "Bacterial small subunit ribosomal RNA", at positions 355 to 776 of the family's 1533-position model. Lineage: Bacteria; Pseudomonadati; Bacteroidota. The record is from RNAcentral.